This 108-nucleotide ribosomal RNA is filed under the name Patescibacteria group bacterium. The record is from RNAcentral.
UAAGGGAGCUAUGCUGGAAGUGCUCCACCCGAUCCCAUCCCGAACUCGGAAGUGAAAUCUUCCAAGGCCGAUGAUAGUGCUUUGCGCCAAAGUAGGUAGCUCUCUUAC